Molecule: ribosomal RNA, 490 nt
Filed under: uncultured bacterium
Lineage: Bacteria
Description: partial 16S ribosomal RNA
Rfam family: Bacterial small subunit ribosomal RNA
Source: RNAcentral
GAUGAACGCUAGCUACAGGCUUAACACAUGCAAGUCGCGGGGCAGCAUGGGGGUUGCUUGCAAUCCCUGAUGGCGACCGGCGCACGGGUGAGUAACGCGUAUCCAACCUGCCCUUCACCACGGGAUAACCCGGCGAAAGUCGGACUAAUACCGUAUGUUGUCCAUUGACGGCCUCCGAUUUGGACGAAAGGCUUAGCGGUGAGGGAUGGGGAUGCGUCCGAUUAGCUUGACGGCGGGGUAACGGCCCACCGUGGCUACGAUCGGUAGGGGUUCUGAGAGGAAGGUCCCCCACACUGGAACUGAGACACGGUCCAGACUCCUACGGGAGGCAGCAGUGAGGAAUAUUGGUCAAUGGGCGUAAGCCUGAACCAGCCAAGUAGCGUGCAGGAUGACGGCCCUAUGGGUUGUAAACUGCUUUUAUGCGGGGAUAAAGGGACCCACGUGUGGGUUUUUGCAGGUACCGCAUGAAUAAGGACCGGCUAAUUCCGUG